GCAAAGGUCCAUCUGUUUUCCCUCUGAUGCCUUGCUGUAGUUCUCUGACAUCUGAUGCUACCAUUGGAUGCUUGGCUUCUGGAUUUCUUCCUCAACCGGUAAAAAUCCAGUGGAAGUCCGGAUCAGGAACUGAUCCUAGCAAGAUUAAGAACUUUCCAGCAGUUAUGCAGCAAAGUGGUGUCUUCGUCUCCAGUAGUCAAGUGACCAUUCCCAUUUCUAGAUGGAAUUCUGAAUCUUUUACUUGCACUGUGACACAUGAAUCAACAGGCACCGAAGUCACCAAAGAGCUAAGAGACACGGGUUGCAAUAGAACACCAAAGAUCACCAUUAUUCCUCCUACUCAAAAAGAUUUGACAUUAUCAGCGAACGUAAAUCUUACUUGCAUGGUUACUAACCUAGCAACUAUAAACAACAUCAAAAUGAAAUGGCAAGUAAAUGGAGAAGAUAGAACUGAAAAUGAGCCAUCAUCAGUUAAACAGUCAGAUGAUACUCAUUCAUUGACCCUAACACUGGAAAUAAAAUCCAGCGAGUGGUACAAGAAUACCUACAAUUGCAGUUUUGACAGUGGCAACAUCAAACUGAAAGCAGUGUCAGGGGAACGGACAGGCACUGAAAGAAAACCAUCUGUCUUUAUGUAUUCACUUCAUAAAGAUGGUAAAAGUAGUAUUUGCUCGGACAAGGAUACUACUUUUAUAAGCAUUGUCUGCCUUGUUAAGGGCUUCAGUCCAAAAGAUAUCUACGUUACCUGGCAAUACAAAGGGAAUAAUAACACAAAUGUAUUAAACAGCGAACCCCAGCUGGAUAUUGAAGCAAGAGACAACACAUAUGUCCUGUUCAGUAUGAUCACCAUUCCAAAAAAAGAUUGGUGCAACUUUGUAUCUUAUACCUGCAAUGUGCAUCACAUGAUGAAUAAUCGUAAGGGAAGUCAGGGGAACAUAUCUAAAUCAACUAUUGAUAAUGGUAACUGCUGAUUUUAUUUCUUUUUCUCACAUCUCUGUCCAUUCCAUAUGUAAUAGCAAUUAUCUAUAGUACACAAAUAUUGACCCUGUCCCACAGCAUUACUUCCUUGUCCCACAUCAGACACACAAAGGAGUCUGAUCCGGUGAUACCUGCUCGUCUGAGCACUUCCAUUCCCCUAGAUCUUCCUGUGUAUAUUAUUAAUGCCAGUACCAUGUGUAUGUUCAGAUAAUUACCUUUUCCUGUGCUUUCACCCAAGCAAACAAUCUCUUAGCAUGUUCUAUACCAAACAUGCUUUUGGCUUUUCUGCAUCCAAAUAUAUAAUCUGUUAAUCAUUUUUGAUCAUUUAUAAAAGCCCUUGUAUGUCUGAUACUGUGUCUUAUUGAGUCUAAGCCUAAAUAAAUCAUUAAUUUGAAAUGUUCAA
Molecule: non-coding RNA, 1381 nt
Organism: Xenopus laevis (African clawed frog)
Lineage: Eukaryota; Metazoa; Chordata; Amphibia; Anura; Pipidae
Source: the annotation of a RefSeq genome assembly